CAUGGGCGUGUCCGCCGAAUAGAAGGGGUAAAAAUAGUGCGAGAGAAAGACGACGGACGGAUAAUUAGUGAAAGAAAACACGUAAUUCGAGUGCAGCGCAACAUUCCUCUGGCACGAGCGGCGCGACCGAGACGUGCGGGACACCCUGAGCGACAUGUUCCUCAACUCGUCCGAAAACACGGCGUUCAAGAGCCGCAAGCAGGCCUCCAGCACCAGGGGUCGGCUGCCGGCGCCUGACCAGCAGGCCAAGAGGGCUCGUCUGCUCGCCCCACCCCCGGCAGACCCAUGUGACAAUUCCAACGACUCCGGCCUGGGCGUCGAUUUCAAUGAGGAUGAAUCUCUGAGCGGAUUUUCCCGCGCCGUCACGUCCGACGGCAGCAUUUCCUUGAAUGUGAUUUCCCAGCCCGAGAGUCAACACCGAGCUCGAUAUCAAACCGAGGGCAGCAGAGGCGCCGUCAAAGAUGCCUCCGGCCAAGGUCACCCGGUGGUUAAGCUGGACGGGUACGACAGGGCAGCUGUGCUGCAGGUCUUCAUUGGCUGCGAUGACGAACGCAUGGUCAAUCCACAUUUGUUCUACCAGGCGUGCCGAGUCAGUGGCAAGACUGCCAGUCCCUGCGCCGAGAGCUGCGUCGCCGGCACCAAUGUGCUCGAACUCACUUUCAACAAGGAGAAUCAGUUUACAAUUAUUUGUGAUUGUGUCGGAAUCUUAAAGCAGAGGAAUGUGGACGUUGCGCAGAGAGUGGAGAACGCCUGUGCCCAGAAGUCGAGAAAGAAGAGCACAAGGUGUCGGCUAGUUUUUCGCACGCAAGUCGAGCUGCCCAACGGAAUGACUGAGACGCUGCAAGUCCUCUCCAAUCCCAUCGCAUGCACACAACUGCCGGGAAUGCCGGAAAUACUGAAAGUGUCGAGGACGUCGUCGUCGUCCGAGGGCGGAAAGGAGCUUUUCGUGCUGGGCAAAAACUUCCUCAAGGACUCGAGGGUGGUUUUCCAGGGCAGAGGGUGGAAAAAUGAAGCCGUUCCCGAGAAAGAAUAUUUGCAGCCAACCCACUUGGUGUGCACAAUCCCUGCGUACUGUGGGUCGUCGUUGCCCGAAACCGUGGAAAUGUUUGUGCGGUCCAACAGCCGUCAAAGUGAGGCGGUCCAUUUCACUUAUAACCAAUCUGCAGAUUCUUCUGUUGGUGCAAAUAGCCAUCAAGACCACAAUUAAGAGCUGAAAGCGGAAUCGCCAGGCAAAAAUGCACCCACUUAAGUUGGCCCCGAGGACAUCAUUUCUGGUGAAGUAUCAAACAUAUUCGCAACAGCGCCCUUCGCCACAAGUUCCAUAACUAUAUAUUUAACUCUCGUUGUGGCGCGGGGGUUGCUUCAUAUUUCAAUGAGAGCCAACCUGCGAGGCUGCCCUUAAUUGUUUCCGGAAAAUUUAAUUUAUUUGGCAAACUCGCAGGUUGCGUGGAAAUUGGCCUAUGAUUGUGGAUUGGCUUCAUGGACUAAUUUCAAAACGGAGAAGCAAGUUUUCAGAGUUGGACUCGCACGCACACUUGAUUUAUUCACGCACACACAUAUAUGCCGAGAGUGCUGGGAAAACUCGCAAAUUUCAGAAAACUUGCUUUGAGCGAGUGAAACGUGUGGCACUGAUUAUGAUUUUUACCCUAUAUGCAUGGCUAUGGAACGGUGGAGUGAUUCGGGGGGAGGGGGGAGCCGAAAAAUUUCCUCCGACAAGUCACUAUUUGUAAAUUUUGCUCGGAAACUCGGGAAUUGUUUCGCCUAAAAAAAUGUAGUGAUUUUUCAUAGUGACGAGCAGGAAAUUUUAAGUCAGCCAUUCAGACUUUCCGCGUUUUUUUGUUGGAAACUACUGUUGAAACAAUUUACAUUAAAUUUGGAAGGUCUGUCUCUGAAUCUCAGCUUCACCCAAAUUGAUUGAUUUUUCAUUUUAAAAGAGGAUUUUGCAAAGAUGGGUGGACGCCGAGUGACGGUGGCUGUUGCGAAUGGCCAUGCAGACUGCAGGGCAGAGGCCAAUCAUCAAAACAUAAUAUUUCUUAUUUCGAGCUCUACUCGGAGUUGAUUUAAAAAUAUAAAAAUCAAAACGUCCUGACCAGAGCGCCGACGUGCCUUUCAGUCUGUCUGAGUGAGUGAGUGAGCAAGCGCAGACUUUUCCACAGCCAUGUCGUUUUAAAACCCUUUCCAAGAUAAUUUUGCUAACUCGACUUUUUCAUUCUCCAGAUGGCAGGUGGGGACAGCAGGUUGUCCAGCCACCCCCACAGAGCAACGUGUGUGAGCUUUUGCAAGAUCUGAUAUCGGCGAAGCCGUUGCCUCCGCAGAGUGGCACCAGCGUUGAGAAAUUCCUGUCGGACAUUGAGCAGCAGCCGCAGC
Molecule: RNA transcript, 2367 nt
Organism: Neocloeon triangulifer
Lineage: Eukaryota; Metazoa; Arthropoda; Insecta; Ephemeroptera; Baetidae
Gene: NFAT
Gene name: nuclear factor of activated T-cells 5
Exons: 10
Source: RefSeq, a predicted model, not a curated record